This 74-nucleotide transfer RNA is filed under the name Agrilus planipennis (emerald ash borer). It matches the Rfam family "tRNA". Rfam says of the family: Transfer RNA (tRNA) molecules are approximately 80 nucleotides in length. Their secondary structure includes four short double-helical elements and three loops (D, anti-codon, and T loops). Further hydrogen bonds mediate the characteristic L-shaped molecular structure. tRNAs have two regions of fundamental functional importance: the anti-codon, which is responsible for specific mRNA codon recognition, and the 3' end, to which the tRNAs corresponding amino acid is attached (by aminoacyl-tRNA synthetases). tRNAs cope with the degeneracy of the genetic code in two manners: having more than one tRNA (with a specific anti-codon) for a particular amino acid; and 'wobble' base-pairing, i.e. permitting non-standard base-pairing at the 3rd anti-codon position. The record is from Rfam by way of RNAcentral. Lineage: Eukaryota; Metazoa; Arthropoda; Insecta; Coleoptera; Buprestidae.
UCUCUCGUAGCUUAGUGGUCAGAGCAUUAGUUAGUAAAGCCAAAGGUCCCGGGGUUCGAUUCCCGGCGGGGGUG